GUGGGAUUGAAGCAGACAUGGCAAAAGAUUCAGUGUGAGAAUUCUCAUGUGGGAGUAGAAACGGGUCAUCAGAGGGGCUAAAAUAGCCGUUGUAAGCAUCGAAGUCCGUAACAAAUAAAAUAGGGUGGUGGUCAUAAUGUGAUAAAAGGUCAUUGACAUAGGCAUUUUGACCAACAUGCUUUGAAAUUUUAAAAAGACCAGCAUUACACGCUUGUAAUAUAACAUAAUCCCUAAUAUUAAAUUCAAAGUAUUGUUUAUGCCAAUCAACUUGAGGUUUAUAUAAUGCUUUACUUGCUUCAAAUUGUUUAUUGAUCUCAAUAUGCAAGCUAUGAAAAUGUGAUACAACUACCUCAACUGACAUAGACACACAAGCAUGUGGGUGCAUGAGAAUAAGGUUUAGAGGUUUCAAAGGUUCACAACAAAGAAUAACUUCAAAGGGUUUUAGACCUAAAGACCAGUUCACAGGAUCGUUAAAUGCAAUUUGAACAAUUGGAGGGAUCAAGUCCCAAUUUUCAAGAUUUUUCUGGACUAGAGACUGUAAUAAAUUGUCAGGAUUUUGGUUAGAACUUUUGUUUUGACCAUCAAUUUGAGGUUGGUCAGUGGUGGAUAAUUUUGCCUUAGUAUUAACCACAGGCGACCGGAUUUUCCAAGGGUGACUGGUGACAUCGUCAAGCUCUUUAACUUGGGUAAGGGUAUGACAUAUAACAUGUGAUCGAGAAUUGUCAGAGAUAAGGGGUAUAGUAUCCAAAGUCUUGGGAAGAGUCUGGAUUCCACCUAAGGAAGUGUCCUCAAUAUCAUCCAAGUCAUCAAAAUCUUCAAGUUUAGGUUCAUAGACUAGAUCUUCUAACAGCUCCUCUAUUACAUUCUUUCGUUCUUCCAUGACUAAGGUUCAAUUAGGACAUUUAGAAGAAAUGUGACCAAAGUCUUUACAGUUGACGCACAACAAGUGAGAAGAAGACCUUGGAGUUUCAGAAAUUCUACCUUGAUUUUUCAAGAUUGGAGAACCAUUAGAAGGGGGAGGUCCUAGAAGGGACUUAACGGAAGGAGGUGGAGCCAAUGAAGCCAAAUGAUGAUUAUAAAAAAUUUUACCCUUAUUUUUCAAAAUUGGAGGAACAUCAGACGGGGGAGGUCCUAGAAGGGACUUAACGGGAGGAAGUGGAGCCAGUGACACAGAAGGAUGAUUGUCAAUAUGCUUUCUACUUGGAGAAAAAGAUCUUGGACUAUCACGACCUUUACAAUUAUUUUUCCAAAUAGGAGGAACAUUAGACGGAGAAGGUUUUAUGAUAGACUUAUGAUGAGGCGACGCUAAUGAGAUGGGUGAACGACGAUGACCACGAUUUUCAUAUGGAGUACUAAUAAUCAACUCAUAAUCUCGAGCUAAAGAGUAAGCGUGAUUAAGAGUAGUGACGCCUCGAAGGAAAAGCUCGCGCUUAAGAUUAUCUCUCAGACCUUGGCUAAACCUACUCAAAGUCGUGCUCUCAUCCUCAAUUAAAUGACAUUUGGUUCGAAAUUCCUCAAAUUGUGCGUUAUACUCAGUCACUAAUUGGUUUCCUUGUUUAAGGGCAUUCCAUUGAGUAAGAAUUUCAAAAUUAUCUCGUUGUCGCUCACGAAUUUGAUCCCUAUUCCUAUCCCUAUCCUCACAAUCGGGUCGAAAGUAUUUUUGAUUACCUUGUCGACAAUGUUGUCUAUUAUGGGACACCUUAGAAUUAUCAACAUCAAUCGAAUGAGGAAUGUGUUUAAAUUUUUUCAAAGUAACAGAUAGGGCCUCACUCUCUUCAAGAGUAGUGGUCAUUUGAGUUUGAAUAGCCGCUAUUUGUCGGGUGAGUGUAUCGAAUUGUGAGGGGUUCAUGUUUAAGGUACUAGAGCUAGAAGUGACAAGAUGACCAAUAUGUAACUAUAUGCACUGUAAUAGCAAUUUAAUGACAUUCAAUAGAGAGAUCAACGAACAAAAAGUGCAAGUAAUGGAAAAUGAAAAUUUGAGCUAUUUUUUUUUUUUAAAUUUAAAUUUUGGGACUAAAAUUAUAUACAACAAGCUAGUACUGCUGGUAUAUGUAAAAUAAUAAAACAAUGGUCAAAUACUAGUCAAAACCUAAUAACGUAAAAUAAGCAGGUUAAAGUGAGAUUUAACGAGGUCAAUGGAUCCAACUACGUGAGUUUAGAUAAAAAUAGAUCAGCAGCAACACAAAAAUUUAAUUGAUGCAAUUUCAAAAUGAAACAGUAAUAUAAACCGACAAUAAAUAAAAACAAGAACUUCCCUUUCGUUUGUCGAAGUAGUCAAGUCAGAUCAACCAGAAUAAAAGAUGUAUCUGUAAAUAAUAGAAAAGACGUUUCUUCUCUUUUUUUUUUCACUUUUUUUUUUUUGGGAACUGCAGAAAAUGAUAAAUAAAUUAAAAAAAAAAAGAAAUUUCGGGUAUGAACAGUACCCCCUGAACAGUAACAUUUUUUUUUUAUUUUUAUUUUUUAUGAAACUGCUGAAAAAUCUAUAAAAAAAAAACUGAAAUUCCGGGUGUGAACAGUACCCGUGAACAGUUUUUAUUAUUAUUAUUAUUAUUUUUUUUGGCCUAAUCAACUAGAAAGAAAAUUGAACAAGAAAACUGCUGUCUCAUAACAAUUUUUUUUGUUUGUGCUGUUCCACAAGUUUUUUGGAAGAAGAUAGGAAAAAAGUUUUGGGUUGUGGAUGAAAAAUUACCCAAGUUUUGGUUCUGAUACCACUUUGAUGCAGGAUGAGGGAUGAUUCCUGCAGAAUAAUUAGAAAUAGCAAAAUAGCACAACUAGUAAGUAGAAUUCCAGCGAGAAGAAGAAGAAGGCAGCAAGAAGGGGGAAAGGACCAGAGGGGGGGGGGGACCAGAGAAGAAGUAGAAAUCAGGGGAAAGGGGAGAAGGAGGAAGCCAUAGGCAACAACCCAAGCAUUCUAUUCUUUAAUUCAUCAAUUCAUCAACUGUCUCAAAUACGCAACAAAACAGAAAUAAAUAACAAAACAAAAAUCCUAAAGAGAAGGGCUUGGGCCAAAUCUGCUAAACAAGCCCAAUAAUAGAAAUAUAAAUAAUAAUCCAAAUAAAAUAUAACUAAUAGUCCAAAUAGAAAAUAAAUAGUAAAUGGAAGAAAAUAAAUAGUAAAUAGAUGUCCGCAUCAAUAUGUAGAACUAUUGACUUCUUGACAAUAGAUAACGGUUUAUGUUGAUUGCUACCGGUAAAAGAGUGUUAUCAGAUGCCUGGGCUUUGGAUACUGCUCAAAAACCAUAUGUGGCAGAGGCUUAAUCCAGAAGGUGAUAGACCUUAUGCAAGUAUGUAAGUUGCAUUGCAUAUCUGAAUUUGAAUUAGCAUUGCUCGGCUUUUGAACAACUUUUCUGCCAUAACAGGCUGGUUAGCAGUGUGCUUCCUUUCACACUAUCGUUGAACUGUGCUGGUGUACUGCUCCUUUAUUUUCUAUUGCUGCUUAAAACUUUUAAUUAACCAAUUUUUAGAGCAUGUUUGGCUAAUCCUAGAAAGUAAACUUACCUAUUUUUUUUCUCAAAAAAGUAAUUAAAUGCUUUUAAAAAUUAACAUAUCAUGCUGAAUUGUUUUUGAAAAAGACUUUUGAAAAAUUGCCAGACCAGUUUGGGAGAAGAAGUAACUUAAAAGUAACUUAUAAAGAUCCAGACAUGAUUUGGCCAAGCUUAAAGUACUUUUAAUUAACUUUACUUAUUUCUUAAGCUUAUCCAAACACGCUCUUAGAUGAUCUCAAGACAAUAUUAUAAUUGUUUCUUGGGGAAGUUCCCCACCAAUAAUCUGUUCAGACUUUUAACUUGUCACUACAAAAAAUGUUUUUAAUUGGUUUGUGCAUUUUUCUUGAAAUGAUUUCAAGCAAGUGGGAUUUUGGUUUAACCAAUUGGUUUUAUAGCGGGAUUGGGCUACUCUGUGUGGGAUUUGAUGCAUUGCUUGAUCAUUUGAUUAGAAAGGUUAUGUAAUUUUUUUGUGGAUUUCAAUCUCAAUUUGGUUUUCGGUCAAUUUGAAGAUAAAGUGGGGAUGAUGGAAGCGAUUGAACUGUGAAAAUUUGAUUUUCAUGUUUAAGAAAUUGGGAUAAGACUGCCAACUUAAUUUAUCAUGUGUAAUUCAAUUAUUUGAUGCCAUUAAUUUGGCAUAGAAUUUGCUAUAAGAUGCAAGUAUCUUUUGCACCGUAGCGUAGAUAGAGAUAUCACUAGCAUCUAAUUCCUUGAGUUUUGAUUUCUUGUGCAUUAUAGUAUACUGCAAAACAACUUUCUUCAGUCACUAUUAGAGUUAUUGCUCUUUUAAUCAUAUACUCCUAGCUUUCCAUUCUUCUUCAUUUUUUAUUAUAUAUGCUAUUUGCUUUUGUUGAUGCCUACUACCGUGCAACAACAAUUAAAAGUGGACACUUGGACUGAUUUUUUAAGUCUUGUGAGAUUCAGAUAUAUAAAUAUAGAGGAUAUCCAUUCUAAAUGAUCGAGUCCAAAUCUUAGUGCCCAUCUCAUGCUUUCUAUAGGAUAGAACCAACAAAUUUGGAAAAAUUUAAUGCAGUAGAUUCGAUUUUUUGUUCUUUGGGUGAAGAUCCAUUAAAGAAAGAGCUCAUUGAAACUCCUGCUCGCUUUGUGAAGUAGUUGAUUAAGUUUAGAAGCUAAAUUUGAUCUUGUCUUGGCAUGUAGUAUCUUCAAUUUCUUCCCAAGUAUGUGAAUUUCUUUUACUCUGGUAAGUGAAGAUCUUAUAGCUUCGUGAAUAAGAACUUUUGGCUUCAAGAAGUGUUUGUAUGUUGAACUGGAGAUGUGAUUUCCUGCUUACACUAAUAUCAGAAUACAUGGAAGUCAAAUUAACAAAAAGGCUUUGUUAUGUGGUUAAGAAUAAUUUUCUAGAUGACAUCUGACAUAAAUAAAUUACUCAAAUAAAGAAGUUCAACGAGCAUUUGAAACGACAUGAAAAACUUUAAGAUUGAUACAGUAUUGGUAUGGAGUUUGGUUUAAGGUUUCACUGCAAAAAGGGAUUUGGUGAUGUUGCUUCUAGGAUUUGCAGUAAAAUUGGCACGAGAAGCAAAGGAAGUUGCUGCAAAUGUCUAUGUUGAAUGCGAUAUUGGCAUCCAUUGACCGAGGAACCUAUUCAACAGGCAUGUUACAAAAAUUGAAACAAAAUAUGCUUUCACAUGUGCUCAUUCUUUAUUUAUAUUUCUCUACAUUGGGAGCAUUCUAAAUAGAAUCUAUGUUUUCCUCACUUACAGAUGGUGUUUUGUAGGAAACAAUUCACAUUUUUUAUUGUUGAUAUAAGUGAACGAAAAAAAGAAUAUGCAUCAAUCUUUUGAAGAGAGCUGGACAUUACAUGACAUUGCAGGUAAAAAAAUAGCUACUCCAUCUCGUUCUCUAGUUUAUCGUUGUUGGUGCAAAGUUUUUGUCGUGUUUGCUGCAGGGGAGGUUGCAUCCUUUACAGAUAGAUAUGGACUAGCGAUUAGCCUUCCGUUGGCAACUACUACUUUACUAAAUAAGCAAAUUCAAUAUCGGUAUUCUCAUGGAAUAGGUAAUUACUAAUAUUUAGAAAGGGUGACUUUGUUUUAUGUGUGUUCUAAAUACACAUUAUGUCUUAAAUUUUAAUUUUUUUAGUGCGUUUCUUUGUGUAGUAAUAUUAGCUUUUGAAAUGAUCAUCUUGUUGGAUAGAGCAUUAUCGAGG
Molecule: long non-coding RNA, 5645 nt
Filed under: Olea europaea subsp. europaea
Lineage: Eukaryota; Viridiplantae; Streptophyta; Magnoliopsida; Lamiales; Oleaceae
Source: RNAcentral